Molecule: long non-coding RNA, 537 nt
Filed under: Homo sapiens (human)
Lineage: Eukaryota; Metazoa; Chordata; Mammalia; Primates; Hominidae
Description: HSALNT0271137
Source: RNAcentral
UGACUUUGACUCUCCCCCUCUUUCUUGUCCGUUCCUUCAGGUGACCAUCCCAUUAGAAGAAGACAGAUGCAGCAGAGAGGCCACUAACUGUCCAUGUCACAGGAUACUCCUCCUACACCCCCCUCCCUCCCUGAAGUGGUCUGUUCUCUACAAUCAUCUCAUCAUCCCCAUGUUUUAACUUGUUUUCAUAAUUUUUCAGAACCCUAAUCUCAAUCACAUAUGAGUAUUAGUAGAUUUCAUUAUUUAAAUGAUUUAAAAUAAGGUCUGGAUGACAGGGUAUGCUUGUCUGAUUUAGGUAGUCUACUUCAUUUAAAGAAGUACUUAGUUGCCUAAAUAAGAUUUAAACAUUUGGAUUUGGGAAUCUCUUUUCACUUGUUCUUUUCUUGGUCCAUAAGAAGAGCCAGAACCACAGCAUGCCUCUCUAUUUCAGAGCUACAUUAAGGUGAGUUUAAAAACAAGUUAACUUGUUGAAUGCCAGGAAGAAAAACAAUAUUUGGGAAUAAAAUCUGAUGGAGAUAAGAUUUGGCUAUUGAGGAA